GCACCACAAAUCAUUCACAAAAUCCCUAUAAAUACAACAAGCUGCAUUUUCUCUGUUUACCAAAUACAUCACAAAUCUCACAAAAUCACAAAAACAUUUCCAAAAUCUACAACAAAAUUACACAAAUCAUCCACACAUCGCACAUCGCACAAAUCAGAAAAUCAUCCACAUCGCACAGAUCGGGGCGCACAGAAAAUCAUCCACAUCCACACAGUGCGCCGGUCGUCCGCCGCCUCGCCGCCCGCCCGCCCGCGUUGCCGCCUCAGGCUCCGCCGUCACCCGCCGC
RNAcentral lists this long non-coding RNA (286 nucleotides) under Oryza sativa (Asian cultivated rice). Its description in RNAcentral is "long non-coding RNA (OSAT_LNC001465)". Lineage: Eukaryota; Viridiplantae; Streptophyta; Magnoliopsida; Poales; Poaceae. The record is from RNAcentral.